GGUUGUGGCUCAGUGGUGGAGCACUUGCCUACAUGCAUGAGACACUGAGUUCAAUUCUUAGCACCA
This 66-nucleotide transfer RNA is filed under the name Ictidomys tridecemlineatus (thirteen-lined ground squirrel). Its description in RNAcentral is "Spermophilus tridecemlineatus (thirteen-lined ground squirrel) tRNA". It matches the Rfam family "tRNA". Rfam says of the family: Transfer RNA (tRNA) molecules are approximately 80 nucleotides in length. Their secondary structure includes four short double-helical elements and three loops (D, anti-codon, and T loops). The record is from Rfam by way of RNAcentral. Lineage: Eukaryota; Metazoa; Chordata; Mammalia; Rodentia; Sciuridae.